UACGUAGGUGGCAAGCGUUAUCCGGAAUUACUGGGCGUAAAGCGCACGCAGGCGGUCUUGUAAGUUUGACGUGAAAGCUCCCGGCUUAACUGGGAGAGGUCGUUGAAUACUGCGAGACUUGAGUUUAGGAGAGGGGUGUAGAAUUCCCGGUGCAGUGGUGGAAUGCGUAGAUAUCGGGGGGAAUACCAGUGGCGAAAGCGGCACCCUAGCCUUUGACUGACGCUCAUGUGCGAAAGCGUGGGGAGCGAACGGG
Molecule: ribosomal RNA, 253 nt
Filed under: uncultured bacterium
Lineage: Bacteria
Description: partial 16S ribosomal RNA
Rfam family: Bacterial small subunit ribosomal RNA
Source: RNAcentral